GGCGGCGUGCUUAACACAUGCAAGUCGAACGAAGAGCGAUGGAAGCUUGCUUCUAUCAAUCUUAGUGGCGAACGGGUGAGUAACGCGUAAUCAACCUGCCCUUCAGAGGGGGACAACAGUUGGAAACGACUGCUAAUACCGCAUACGAUCUAAUCUCGGCAUCGAGGAUAGAUGAAAGGUGGCCUCUACAUGUAAGCUAUCACUGAAGGAGGGGAUUGCGUCUGAUUAGCUAGUUGGAGGGGUAACGGCCCACCAAGGCGAUGAUCAGUAGCCGGUCUGAGAGGAUGAACGGCCACAUUGGGACUGAGACACGGCCCAGACUCCUACGGGAGGCAGCAGUGGGGAAUCUUCCGCAAUGGACGAAAGUCUGACGGAGCAACGCCGCGUGAGUGAUGACGGCCUUCGGGUUGUAAAGCUCUGUUAAUCGGGACGAAAGGCCUUCUUGCGAAUAGUGAGAAGGAUUGACG
Molecule: ribosomal RNA, 467 nt
Filed under: Veillonella parvula
Lineage: Bacteria; Bacillati; Bacillota; Negativicutes; Veillonellales; Veillonellaceae
Description: bacterial SSU rRNA
Rfam family: Bacterial small subunit ribosomal RNA
Source: RNAcentral